This 254-nucleotide ribosomal RNA is filed under the name uncultured bacterium. RNAcentral's name for it is "partial 16S ribosomal RNA". It matches the Rfam family "Bacterial small subunit ribosomal RNA", at positions 524 to 776 of the family's 1533-position model. The record is from RNAcentral.
UACGGGGGGAGCAAGCGUUGUUCGGAUCUACUGGGCGUAAAGGGCGCGUAGGCGGCCAGCACAAGUCAGUUGUGAAAUCUCCGGGCUUAACCCGGAAAGGUCAGCCGAUACUGCGGGGCUAGAGUGCAGAAGGGGCAACUGGAAUUCUCGGUGUAGCGGUGAAAUGCGUAGAUAUCGAGAGGAACACCUGCGGCGAAGGCGGGUUGCUGGGCUGACACUGACGCUGAUGCGCGAAAGCUAGGGGAGCGAACGGG